GAAGAACCAGGAAUGGAAAAUGAAAAGGAAAAGCCAGUGAAGUCAAAGGUAAACCAGGUUUGUCCUGGAAGACACGUGAAAGAACUUGCCAAGGAGGAAGUAAUAGUCAAUUUUGUCUGAUUCUACUCAUAGGUCAGACAAACUUCUGUACAAGGGCUGAGGACAGGACAAGAUGUGCUGAUGUAUAAAAAGUCUAAAUCUGCAGCAUAAUCUGUGAAGAGAUGAGGAAAGCCACGUACUCGAAGCCUCACUUAAAGGAAAUGAAACAGUAAAACUAAAUCAGAUUUGGCUCUUCACUUCUGCCUUCAGUGCUGUCCAGACUCAGACAUUAUAUCAUUCUAGAUCCUUCCAAAAAAGAGCCCGCAUAGCCAAGACAAUCCUGGGCAAGAAGAGCAAAGCUGGAGGCAUCACACUACCUGACUUCAAACUAUACUACAAGGCUACAGUAACCAAAACAGCAUGGUACUUGUACCAAAACAGAUAUAUAGACCAAUGGAACCGAACAAAGGCCUCAGAAAUAACACCACACAUCUACAACCACCUGAUCUUUGACAAACCUGACAAAAACAAGCAAUGGGGAAAGGAUUCUCUAUUUAAUAAAUGGUGUUGGGAAAACCGGCUAGCCAUAUGCAGAAAACUGAAACUGGACCCAUUCCUUACACCUUAUACAAAAAUCAACUGAAGAUA
RNAcentral lists this long non-coding RNA (687 nucleotides) under Pongo abelii (Sumatran orangutan). Its description in RNAcentral is "lincRNA". The record is from RNAcentral. Lineage: Eukaryota; Metazoa; Chordata; Mammalia; Primates; Hominidae.